AAGCCCGUGGCAGGUAUUGGAGAGGCUCCCAGUGAUUUCAGUAGGCUUUGAAUGGAGGACUCGGGGACAGAUAUACGAAGUUGAAAAGUGCAAGCAGCAGCGCAGAGAAAUGAAAUGGAGAGCAGCAGGACAGAUCCAAGUGAGGACCAGUGAUGUGUAAGCUUCAAGAGGUGCUGUUUAUGUUUGUGAUGAAGGCCUGCGCUAUUAAGUGCAGCAAACCCACCGUAGUGAACCGGUGGCCCUGACAGAGAGCAGAAGCAGGCUGCAUGCAUCUCCUUGUGAUGGAGCUGGCAGAGAAAAUCGGACACUGGGACAAACAACCAUAAAUCAGGACUGUCCUGAUUAAAUCAGGCAUGGCUGGCAAGAUUCAGAGCCAGCUACAGUUGGGAAGUCUGAAGGAAAGUCAUCGUCUUUCCAGUAAUUCCAGCUCCAGUUUGUUCGGUCUGUCAGGAAAGCUCCUGACAGAUGCGUGAGGUGAUCCUGACACUAAAAUUUUGGUUGUAUUAUUGCACAGUGGCCCUGCUGUUUCAUGCAUUCUCUCGGCUGUUUGUCUGGAGAGAGUCAGGCAAAGGCUUGUUUCUGCAUGGUUUUCUGAACAGAAGGGGAGCAGUACACUACGUAUACGCAAAUCCAUAUCAUGAGCAUUUAUUGUUUACAUAUAAAAAAUUCAAGCAUAAGGCUUUGAGCUGAGCCAGAAGGGUAUCAAACCCUGAGAGUUUCUACUACAACCCUGAAAGGCUGCAGCAAAGGUUAGUGCAGGUUUUCAGGGAAUUUUCUAAUCUGAAUUGCAGCAGUGGGGCAUAUAAGAGUGUUAUUUUCUCCAGUGUUGAGAUGCACAGCUGUGUGGUCUGUGGUCUCCUGCUCCUAUAACUAAAAUGGAGACCAGUAAGGGGUGCAUAACAUUCCAAGAAAGCGUGGUCUUUAUUUCUGACUUAAACUGAGACCCGGCUGUCAUAGACUUUGAGUUCUGAUGGACUCCCUUGCCCUCUUCUAGUAGGGGGUUCAUUCGGCAAUAUUACAAAUUGUCCCCGUCUCAAAAAUCAGGGAGGAUGAACAAACAGAGCAUCUGUUAAUCCAAGAUACUGGUUUGAAAUUUUGCUCCUGCUUGCACUGCUAUAUAUUGGGUAAAUUUCCCCUGAAGCUGAUGGUGAAGCUGCUAUUCUUACAUCUGAACAAAUCAAUUCCUAGCUCUAAAAAUAAGUGAAUUAGAAAAGAGGUAAAGCUGCCAUUUAUAAAAUAAAUGUGUUUAUUUGGUAAACAUUGUAUCCUGUAUAUAAACUUCAUCAAUAUUAGAUCUACCAAAAUUCUUCUUAAUCUCGUUAGGGAAAAGGCAAAAGGAUUUUGCAUACUUUUACUAAGUCAGGAGACCUUUUUUUUUCUCUUGGUCAGAAUCAUGGCAAAUUAUUCAUUAUCAGAAUCAAUGACAAAAGGCAAAAUACGUCUGUUCCAAACACACCCCUAGAACUUCCACUUUCUUGAUUUGGGAUUGUUUUAAAGCAAUUGUUCCCAAGCCCAGCUAUAUGGUAUGCAUUCAGUAGCUCUCCAAAGCACUGUCAGGACACUGAUAGGCAUUUCUGGAUUGCCUGAAAUAGAUGGGCCACACGGAUCACUCGUGUAAUUCCAUUAACGCCAGAGGAGUUGCAUCUUGCACACGUGCCACCUGGUGAGCUUAUGGGUACCUCCGCAGGAGAAAUAGGGUUUCAUGCCUAAUUUUUAUGGCCACCACAGAUUAUUUGCUAUGAUCUUCUGGCAUUAAUGCGCAGCAGGAUGUCAGCGAGCACUCAAUACAGUUUCCAGCCACACACUAGGAAUUACUGGGCUAAUCGAGCAUCUUUUUUAGUGAAUCCCAUAGACCAAAGGGUUUAUCUUCCCCUCCAAGGAAAUAUACAGCUGUCACAAGUAAUAUCACUGCAAAAGUUUUCAGUUACGUUGCAAGGUCAAAUUAUCUACAUCUUUCAUUAUCUAGGUGAAUGAUGAAAAGUUGUUGAGGUCUAUCCAAAGUGAGGCCCCAAUUUAGCAAGGUGGUUAAGCAGGUACCUGACUUUGCUGGGACUGUCCGUGUACAUCAGGCCAGCUGUGUGUUUUAGCAAGCUGCUGAAUUAAGAGCUAAAUCUCAAGAAGUCUUCUUGAAUGCUGUCUUGGAAACUAGAUACACGUGUGCAACUGGAAAUCGUAAGUUAUAUUAUUAUGAAAAGGGGGGAGGGGCUUGAAGAGAGAAAAAAAUGUAUGGAAGAGCAGGAGCAAGUGCCCUUCUGUAGUGUACCAUGUAUUUUGCAUGCAUGCAUUGUAUUUGUGUAUAUUUUAAAGACACCUUUAGAAAGUACAUUACAUGAAACCAUCGGUCAUUCUUUACACUGGAUUUUUAUUUCAUAACUCUACUAUUGUAUUAGCAAAAACCCCAUAAUCUAAAAGUACCGGCACUGCUGCAAGUUCCAAACAGUUCUUAUUUCGGGAUCCUGGCAUGUGCAUGUAAAACAUUUAAAUACUUAUUGGUGGAUAAGAAAAUCAAUUUACUUGUAAGGUGACUAAGUAACAACAUGUAUUAGAAUUGAUGUUACAAUUAGGAAAAAAAGAAAUAAAUU
Dromaius novaehollandiae (emu) is the source of this 2582-nucleotide long non-coding RNA. RefSeq lists it as uncharacterized. The transcript has 3 exons. NCBI's taxonomy places the organism in Eukaryota, Metazoa, Chordata, Aves, Casuariiformes, Dromaiidae. The record is from RefSeq and is a predicted model, not a curated record.